RNAcentral lists this ribosomal RNA (453 nucleotides) under Triticum aestivum (bread wheat). Its description in RNAcentral is "partial small subunit ribosomal RNA". The record is from RNAcentral. Lineage: Eukaryota; Viridiplantae; Streptophyta; Magnoliopsida; Poales; Poaceae.
AUGGAGUUUCUUGGGUUUACGCUCAUGGGUGGGAACUCGCCGGCGUGGAUUGACGUGCCGGAGCGGAGCAAGAGCGCGUUCAUGGAGCUGAAGAGGAGGAAGGUGCACCGGUACGUGAUAUUCAAGAUCGACGACAGCACGGAGGAGGUCGUGGUCGAGAAGACCGGUGCGCCCGGGGAGAGCUAUGACGACUUCACGGCCUCGCUGCCUGUGGACGACUGCCGCUACGCCGUCUACGACCUGGAUUUCGUCAGCGACGACAACUGCCGCAAGAGCAAGAUUUUCUUCAUCUCCUGGUCUCCCGAUGAUUCUCGCAUCCGUGCAAAGACCAUAUAUGCUGUGUCCAGGAAUCAAUUCCGCCACGAGCUCGACGGGGUGCACUUUGAGAUCCAGGCAACUGACCCUGACGACAUGGACUUGGAAGUUCUGAGGGUCCGUGCUAAUAGAACCUGA